This 497-nucleotide ribosomal RNA is filed under the name uncultured bacterium. Its description in RNAcentral is "partial 16S ribosomal RNA". It matches the Rfam family "Bacterial small subunit ribosomal RNA", at positions 28 to 507 of the family's 1533-position model. The record is from RNAcentral.
GAUGGACGCUGGCGGCGUGCCUAAUACAUGCAAGUCGAGCGAACGGACGAGAAGCUUGCUUCUCUGAUGUUAGCGGCGGACGGGUGAGUAACACGUGGAUAACCUACCUAUAAGACUGGGAUAACUUCGGGAAUCCGGAGCUAAUACCGGAUAAUAUUUUGAACCGCAUGGUUCAAAAGUGAAAGACGGUCUUGCUGUCACUUAUAGAUGGAUCCGCGCUGCAUUAGCUAGUUGGUAAGGUAACGGCUUACCAAGGCAACGAUGCAUAGCCGACCUGAGAGGGUGAUCGGCCACACUGGAACUGAGACACGGUCCAGACUCCUACGGGAGGCAGCAGUAGGGAAUCUUCCGCAAUGGGCGAAAGCCUGACGGAGCAACGCCGCGUGAGUGAUGAAGGUCUUCGGAUCGUAAAACUCUGUUAUUAGGGAAGAACAUAUGUGUAAGUAACUGUGCACAUCUUGACGGUACCUAAUCAGAAAGCCACGGCUAACUACGUG